This 468-nucleotide ribosomal RNA is filed under the name uncultured bacterium. Its description in RNAcentral is "partial 16S ribosomal RNA". It matches the Rfam family "Bacterial small subunit ribosomal RNA", at positions 28 to 507 of the family's 1533-position model. The record is from RNAcentral.
GACGAACGCUGGCGGCGUGCUUAACACAUGCAAGUCGAACGGAAAGGCCCUGCUUUUGUGGGGUGCUCGAGUGGCGAACGGGUGAGUAACACGUGAGUAACCUGCCCUUGACUUUGGGAUAACUUCAGGAAACUGGGGCUAAUACCGGAUAGGAGCUCCUGCUGCAUGGUGGGGGUUGGAAAGUUUCGGCAGUUGGGGAUGGACUCACGGCUUAUCAGCUUGUUGGUGGGGUAGUGGCUUACCAAGGCUUUGACGGGUAGCCGGCCUGAGAGGGUGACCGGCCACAUUGGGACUGAGAUACGGCCCAGACUCCUACGGGAGGCAGCAGUGGGGAAUAUUGCACAAUGGGCGGAAGCCUGAUGCAGCAACGCCGCGUGCGGGAUGACGGCCUUCGGGUUGUAAACCGCUUUCGCCUGUGACGAAGCGUGAGUGACGGUAAUGGGUAAAGAAGCACCGGCUAACUACGUG